This 585-nucleotide ribosomal RNA is filed under the name uncultured bacterium. Its description in RNAcentral is "partial 16S ribosomal RNA". It matches the Rfam family "Bacterial small subunit ribosomal RNA", at positions 355 to 928 of the family's 1533-position model. The record is from RNAcentral.
UGGGGAAUUUUGGACAAUGGGCGAAAGCCUGAUCCAGCAAUGCCGCGUGUGUGAAGAAGGCCUUCGGGUUGUAAAGCACUUUUGUCCGGAAAGAAAUCCUUGGCUCUAAUACAGUCGGGGGAUGACGGUACCGGAAGAAUAAGCACCGGCUAACUACGUGCCAGCAGCCGCGGUAAUACGUAGGGUGCAAGCGUUAAUCGGAAUUACUGGGCGUAAAGCGUGCGCAGGCGGUUUGCUAAGACCGAUGUGAAAUCCCCGGGCUCAACCUGGGAACUGCAUUGGUGACUGGCAGGCUAGAGUAUGGCAGAGGGGGGUAGAAUUCCACGUGUAGCAGUGAAAUGCGUAGAGAUGUGGAGGAAUACCGAUGGCGAAGGCAGCCCCCUGGGCCAAUACUGACGCUCAUGCACGAAAGCGUGGGGAGCAAACAGGAUUAGAUACCCUGGUAGUCCACGCCCUAAACGAUGUCAACUAGUUGUUGGGGAUUCAUUUCCUUAGUAACGUAGCUAACGNNUGAUGAUGCUCACGGCAGUGGGAGUACGGUCGCAAGAUUAAAAACUUAAACGGAAUUGACGGGGGUCAUAGCUG